AGAGUUGAUCCUGGCUUAGGAUGAACGCUAGCUACAGGCUUAACACAUGCAAGUCGAGGGGCAGCGGGAAGUUAGCUUGCUAACUUGCCGGCGACCGGCGGACGGGUGAGUAACGCGUGAGCAACCUGUCCCAGACAGGGGGAUAACACUUGGAAACAGGUGCUAAUACCGCAUAAGACCACGAAAUCACAUGAUUUAGGGGUAAAAGGAGCAAUCCGGUUUGGGGUGGGCUCGCGUCCGAUUAGAUAGUUGGUGAGGUAACGGCCCACCAAGUCGACGAUCGGUAGCCGACCUGAGAGGGUGAUCGGCCACAUUGGAACUGAGAGACGGUCCAAACUCCUACGGGAGGCAGCAGUGGGGAAUAUUGGGCAAUGGGCCGAAAGCCUGACCCAGCAACGCCGCGUGAGUGAAGAAGGCCUUCGGGUUGUAAAGCUCUGUUAUAGGGGACGAAGGAAGUGACGGUACCCUAUAAGGAAGCCCCGGCUAACUACGUGCCAGCCGCGGC
Molecule: ribosomal RNA, 505 nt
Filed under: uncultured bacterium
Lineage: Bacteria
Description: bacterial SSU rRNA
Rfam family: Bacterial small subunit ribosomal RNA
Source: RNAcentral